UUGUAGCUUGCUAUGGUAUAACUUAGUGGCAGACGGGUGAGUAAUGUAUAGGAAUCUACCUAGUAGUACGGAAUAAUUGUUGGAAACGGCAACUAAUACCGUAUACGCCCUACGGGGGAAAAAUUUAUUGCUAUUAGAUGAGCCUAUAUUAGAUUAGCUAGUUGGUGGAGUAAUAGCCUACCAAGGCAAUGAUCUAUAGCUGAUCUGAGAGGAUGAUCAGCCACACUGGAACUGAGAUACGGUCCAGACUCCUACGGGAGGCAGCAGUGGGGAAUAUUGGACAAUGGGCGAAAGCCUGAUCCAGCCAUGCCGCAUGAGUGAAGAAGGCCUUUGGKUUGUAAAGCUCUUUUAGUGAGGAAGAUAAUGACGGUACUCACAGCAAGAAGUCCUGGCUAACUCCGUGCCAGCAGCCGCGGUAAUACGGAGAGGGCUAGCGUUAUUCGGAAUUAUUGGGCGUAAAGGGCGCRUAGGCGGAUUAGUAAGUUAAAAGUGAAAUCCCAAGGCUCAACCUUGGAAUUGCUUUUAAAACUGCUAAUCUAGAGAUUGAAAGAGGAUAGAGGAAUUCCUAGUGUAGAGGUGAAAUUCGUAAAUAUUAGGAGGAACACCAGUGGCGAAGGCGUCUAUCUGGUUCAAAUCUGACGCUGAGGCGCGAAGGCGUGGGGACCAAACAGGAUUAGAUACCCUGGUAGUCCACGCUGUAAACGAUGAAUGUUAAAUAUGGGAAGUUUUACUUUCUGUAUUACAGCUAACGCGUUAAACAUUCCGCCUGGGGACUACGGUCGCAAGAUUAAAACUCAAAGGAAUUGACGGGGACCCGCACAAGCGGUGGAGCAUGUGGUUUAAUUCGAUGCAACGCGAAAAACCUUACCACUCCUUGACAUGGAAAUCAUACCUAUUC
Molecule: ribosomal RNA, 898 nt
Filed under: Wolbachia sp.
Lineage: Bacteria; Pseudomonadati; Pseudomonadota; Alphaproteobacteria; Rickettsiales; Anaplasmataceae
Description: bacterial SSU rRNA
Rfam family: Bacterial small subunit ribosomal RNA
Source: RNAcentral